UUGAAUUUAAUGUAGAGUUGGUUGUAGCUGGCCCAAUUUAAUUAUUUUGGGCAUGUGCACACUUUCUCUUUCAUCCACACACACCUGUGCACCUGUGAGACAGAAGUGGGACUUUUAAUUUAAUUUAAUUGGACCCUCUGUCUACUCAAUCCACACAAACCCAAUUUAUUUUAAAAUGAAUGUAACUGGAUGUAACACAUCUAAUAC
This 207-nucleotide unclassified non-coding RNA is filed under the name uncultured fungus. RNAcentral describes it as "sequence contains ITS1, 5.8S rRNA gene". The record is from RNAcentral. Lineage: Eukaryota; Fungi.